CCUACGGGCCGCAGCAGUGGGGAAUAUUGCACAAUGGGCGCAAGCCUGAUGCAGCCAUGCCGCGUGUAUGAAGAAGGCCUUCGGGUUGUAAAGUACUUUCAGUGGGGAGGAAGGCGAUAAGGUUAAUAACCUUGUCGAUUGACGUUACCCGCAGAAGAAGCACCGGCUAACUCCGUGCCAGCAGCCGCGGUAAUACGGAGGGUGCGAGCGUUAAUCGGAAUUACUGGGCGUAAAGCGCACGCAGUCGGUCUGUCAAGUCGGAUGUGAAAUCCCCGGGCUUAACCUGGGAACUGCAUUCGAAACUGGCAGGCUAGAGUCUUGUAGAGGGGGGUAGAAUUCCAGGUGUAGCGGUGAAAUGCGUAGAGAUCUGGAGGAAUACCGGUGGCGAAGGCGGCCCCCUGGACAAAGACUGACGCUCAGGUGCGAAAGCGUGGGGAGCAAACAGGAUUAGAUACCCCGGUAGUC
This 465-nucleotide ribosomal RNA is filed under the name uncultured bacterium. RNAcentral describes it as "bacterial SSU rRNA". It matches the Rfam family "Bacterial small subunit ribosomal RNA", at positions 338 to 795 of the family's 1533-position model. The record is from RNAcentral.